AAAUUACAAACAGCAGCUGUGUCUCUGCCAUGGUAACCGCUAAGUUUCGAUGAAUUUCAAUGGUAACAGCUAAGGAUACUGUUCAAGUUGCUACAGCAUAUGUAGGGAAGACCUUUCGAAUGAACUCCAAGAACCUCUCCGAGUAGUACGUUGGGUCAACUGCAGAAAUGGAAACAGAAUCAAACUGAAUCGAUUUGUAUGCAUGUUCUAACUUCUUGCUCAUGUUGUAUUCUUGCAAUAUAUCAAUGAUCCCCAGGUAUAACACAACGUCAUAUACUUCGUGGAACACCUGUGUUUCACCUUCUUUUGGUAUGUACUCCGCCCUUGCUGGCAUAUUCACCCCAAGCUGAAUCUGGAAUCUUGCUGUCCCGGGGAGGAGGAGGUCCACUUCCGCGUCACCGGUAGCAGAUGACGCUCGUAAUCGGCUGCCUCUGACAUGCGGACCCACAACGACACUAUCAUCACUUCCACGUGGGACCAAAACAAGGCCCUGGGGCGAUAUUUCAUCCUCCAGAGACUCUUCUUCUGCAACAAUUUCUAGUCCAUCUGCCGUGGUGCGUCCACUACACGAAAUGAGAGAUUGUAGGUGUUGAGGUGCUCUAUAAUGAACACCUAACAAGAGGCUGUAAUCCAUAAUGUUCUCUUCCUCCAAGAAUUUACUGUCAAUUUCGAUCUGCCUUAAUAAAGCUUCGCGCCAAGAAGGCUCUAGAUAAAAGCAGUAGUUCAAAUCUAGAUCCUUAAGUAUAGUGUUCUCGUCAAUUUCAACCUUAUCAGCAGAUCGUCCUAGUGAAGAACCUUUAAGAUCAAAUCUUCGGUGGAUUCUCAACUCCGUACAAA
RNAcentral lists this unclassified non-coding RNA (837 nucleotides) under Hevea brasiliensis (rubber tree). Lineage: Eukaryota; Viridiplantae; Streptophyta; Magnoliopsida; Malpighiales; Euphorbiaceae. The record is from RNAcentral.